RNAcentral lists this ribosomal RNA (253 nucleotides) under uncultured bacterium. Its description in RNAcentral is "partial 16S ribosomal RNA". It matches the Rfam family "Bacterial small subunit ribosomal RNA", at positions 524 to 776 of the family's 1533-position model. The record is from RNAcentral.
UACGAAGGGGGCUAGCGUUGUUCGGAAUUACUGGGCGUAAAGCGCGUGUAGGUGGCGAUGUAAGUCGGGUGUGAAAUCCCUUGGCUCAACCAAGGAAGUGCAUUCGAUACUGUGUCGCUUGAGUACUGGAGGGGAUGGCGGAAUUCCCGGUGUAGAGGUGAAAUUCGUAGAUAUCGGGAGGAACACCUGUGGCGAAGGCGGCCAUCUGGACAGUCACUGACACUGAGACGCGAAAGCGUGGGUAGCAAACAGG